Molecule: ribosomal RNA, 253 nt
Filed under: uncultured bacterium
Lineage: Bacteria
Description: partial 16S ribosomal RNA
Rfam family: Bacterial small subunit ribosomal RNA
Source: RNAcentral
UACGGAGGGGGCUAGCGUUGUUCGGAAUUACUGGGCGUAAAGCGCACGUAGGCGGCUUUGUAAGUUAGAGGUGAAAGCCCAGGGCUUAACCCUGGAAUUGCCUUUAAGACUGCAUCGCUAGAAUCGUGGAGAGGUGAGUGGAAUUCCGAGUGUAGAGGUGAAAUUCGUAGAUAUCGGGAGGAACACCGGUGGCGAAGGCGGCCAUCUGGACGGAUACUGACGCUGAGACGCGAAAGCGUGGGGAGCAAACAGG